This 63-nucleotide transfer RNA is filed under the name Duplodicodrilus acinctus. RNAcentral's name for it is "tRNA-Trp". Lineage: Eukaryota; Metazoa; Annelida; Clitellata; Crassiclitellata; Megascolecidae. The record is from RNAcentral. RNAcentral also lists the same sequence under 1 other name.
AAGACUUUAAGUUAAAUAAACUAAAAACCUUCAAAGUUUUAAAUAGAAAUAUUCUAAGUCUUG